GAUCGUUCGCGGUCAUAUCUCAUGAGCCUUCUCGCUCAAGUGGAAGAGUUCCUAGUGGCCAUUUUUGUAAGCAGAACUGGCGAUGCGGGAUGAACCGAACGUCAGUUAAAGUGCCUAAGUGUACGCUCAUAUAGAUCCCCAUAAAGGUGUUGAUUCAUUUAGACAGCAGGACGGUGGCCAUGGAAGUCGGAAUCCGCUAAGGAGUGUGUAACAACUCACCUGCCGAAUGAAUCAGCCCUGAAAAUGGAUGGCGCUCAAGCGUACCACUUAUACUUGACCUUUAGAGUAACGUUGUUUUGAAGUGAUAUGCUCUAAAAGUGUAGGAGGGCGUGGAGUUUGUAAAGAAGCCUCUGCUCGUGAGGGUAGGUGAAACAAACUCUAGUGCAGAUCUUGGUGGUAGUAGCAAAUAUUCAAAUGAGAACUUUGAAGACUGAAGUGGAG
This 441-nucleotide ribosomal RNA is filed under the name uncultured eukaryote. RNAcentral describes it as "eukaryotic LSU rRNA". It matches the Rfam family "Eukaryotic large subunit ribosomal RNA", at positions 1072 to 1501 of the family's 3401-position model. The record is from RNAcentral.